UUCUGUCGGAGGACAAACAGCCGGUGUGUUUAGUGUGCAGAGGUUCACAGAACCACAUCAAUCACACAUUCAGACCUAUCAGUGAAGUGAUUUCAUCAUAUAAGGAGGAGCUCAAUACAGCACUAAAAUCCUUACAAGAGAAACUUCAACACAAUGAAAACAUUAAAGAAGAGUUUGAAGAAACAGUUCAACACAUCAAGUAUCAAGCUCAGCACACAGAGCGUCAGAUUAAACAGCAGUUUGAGAAGCUUCAUCAGUUUCUCAGAGAUGAAGAAGAAGCUAAUCACUGCACUGAGAGAGUGAAGAGGAGCAGAAGAAGCAGAUGAUGAAGCAGAAGCUGGAGGAGAUGAACAGACACAUCUCAGAUCUUUCACGACUCAAUCAAAG
Molecule: long non-coding RNA, 387 nt
Organism: Cyprinus carpio (common carp)
Lineage: Eukaryota; Metazoa; Chordata; Actinopteri; Cypriniformes; Cyprinidae
Exons: 3
Source: RefSeq, a predicted model, not a curated record